Long non-coding RNA from Conger conger (European conger), 782 nucleotides. RefSeq lists it as uncharacterized. The record is from RefSeq and is a predicted model, not a curated record. Lineage: Eukaryota; Metazoa; Chordata; Actinopteri; Anguilliformes; Congridae. The transcript has 4 exons.
UUGAAAGUGAAUUCGUGUUUAUUUGCAAAGUCAAAUGCUUUGCUGUUUGGUACCAUCCAGAAAUCUACAUUAUACUGCUUUGUCUUUUAUUAGCUAAUUUACCAGUCGUGGAAGAGUAUGUGAAUUCAUUUGAAUGCAAAUAUGGUUCUAACUGGAGCAUGUGCAAGUCAGAUCACAGAUGGCUAUUGCCAACACAAUCCGCAGGGGAAAACACUACACCUCUUUUUCUACAGGAGUUUGGUAAUGGCCGGGUGAUGAAGAAGCAAGUCUACACAGUGGUCUAAAGAGUGCAGCUGGGCUGGGGAGCGGCCCAGGAGAGGCCCAGGCUUCACGGGCCUGGCAGGGUGGCCGCAGGCGAAGGCGGACCCUCCUCAGCGCUCUCCGCCGCGGCCCCGGUGGGAGACGGAAGCUUCCGGAAUACUCGGUGUUCGAGGGAGCGCUCGUGCGUGGUCAGGGGCUCAUUCCCCAGGUAACUCCAGCUGGCGUGCGGUGAGCGUUCAGACACAAGAUGGCCGCCGUGCGUCACCUAGACAUCUCAUUAAACGCGGAAACGGCAGCUGCAGUGUGAGGCAGUGAAAGUCAGCAGCUCUCCAUCCCAAGCGGAUCAGUUCCACACGGACACUUCAUUUCAUUCAGCUUGAGUAACGUGAAGAACUCUGGAGUAAACUGAACUGCAUGAUGGGGUACAUGGGUUUCUGGAUCCAGAACACUGAAGAACACAGUCUGAGUGACCUGAGGGGAGGUCCAGUGAGAACAGGUUUCUUUUUGCAAGGAAGACAUAG